Molecule: transfer RNA, 77 nt
Filed under: Clostridiales bacterium 43-6
Lineage: Bacteria; Bacillati; Bacillota; Clostridia; Eubacteriales
Description: tRNA-Arg
Rfam family: tRNA
About the family: Transfer RNA (tRNA) molecules are approximately 80 nucleotides in length. Their secondary structure includes four short double-helical elements and three loops (D, anti-codon, and T loops).
Source: RNAcentral
GCGCCCAUAGCUCAGUAGGAUAGAGCGAACGCCUCCUAAGCGUUAGGCCAGAGGUUCGAAUCCCCUUGGGCGCGCCA